Molecule: ribosomal RNA, 253 nt
Filed under: uncultured bacterium
Lineage: Bacteria
Description: partial 16S ribosomal RNA
Rfam family: Bacterial small subunit ribosomal RNA
Source: RNAcentral
UACGUAGGGGGCGAGCGUUGUCCGGAAUUAUUGGGCGUAAAGAGCGUGUAGGCGGUUCGGUAAGUCUGCCGUGAAAACCUGGGGCUCAACCCUGGGCGUGCGGUGGAUACUGCCGGGCUAGAGGAUGGUAGAGGCGAGUGGAAUUCCCGGUGUAGCGGUGAAAUGCGCAGAUAUCGGGAGGAACACCAGUAGCGAAGGCGGUUGCCUGGAGCUUUGCUGACGCUGAUGCGCGAAAGCGUGGGGAGCGAUCCGG